GAUGAAGAACGUAGCGAAAUGCGAUAACUAAUGUGAAUUGCAGAAUUCAGUGAAUCAUCGAGUCUUUGAACGCACAUUGCGCCCCCUGGUAUUCCGGGGGGCAUGCCUGUCCGAGCGUCAUUGCUGCCCUCAAGCACGGCUUGUGUGUUGGGCUCCGUCCCCCCGGGGACGGGCCCGAAAGGCAGCGGCGGCAUCGAGUCCGGUCCUCGAGCGUAUGGGGCUUUGUCACCCGCUCUGUAGGCCCGGCCGGCGCCAGCCGACAACCCAUCAUCCUUUUCAGGUUGACCUCGGAUCAGGUAGGGAUACCCGCUGAACUUAAGCAUAUCAAUAAGCGGAGGA
RNAcentral lists this unclassified non-coding RNA (339 nucleotides) under soil metagenome. Its description in RNAcentral is "partial contains 5.8S ribosomal RNA, internal transcribed spacer 2, and large subunit ribosomal RNA". The stretch from base 1 to 120 matches the Rfam family "5.8S ribosomal RNA", at positions 35 to 154 of the family's 154-position model. The record is from RNAcentral.